This 882-nucleotide ribosomal RNA is filed under the name Triticum aestivum (bread wheat). RNAcentral's name for it is "partial small subunit ribosomal RNA". Lineage: Eukaryota; Viridiplantae; Streptophyta; Magnoliopsida; Poales; Poaceae. The record is from RNAcentral.
AUGGCCGCACCUCCACCCUCCAAGAGGAGAGGCGGCGGCGGUGGCGGGGGUGUGGAGAGGAAGGAUCUGUUCCACGUCGUCCACAAGGUGCCCGCCGGCGACAGCCCCUACGUCCGGGCCAAGCACCUCCAGCUCGUGGAGAAGGACGCGGAGGCGUCGAUCGUGUGGUUCUGGAAGGCGAUCAACUCCGGGGACAGGGUGGACAGCGCGCUCAAGGACAUGGCCGUGGUGAUGAAGCAGCAGGACCGCGCCGAGGAGGCCAUAGAGGCCAUCAGAUCCUUCAGGCACCUCUGCUCCAGGCAGGCCCAGGAGUCCCUCGACAACCUGCUCAUCGACCUCUACAAGAAAUGCGGAAAAGUCGACGAGCAGAUAGAGCUGCUGAAACAGAAGCUCAAGAUGAUAUGCCUCGGCGAGGCCUUCAACGGGAAGAUCACCAAGACGGCCCGCUCCCACGGCAAGAAGUUCCAGGUCUCGAUCCAGCAGGAGAUGUCACGCAUUCUGGGUAACCUUGGCUGGGCUUACAUGCAGCAGAACAACUAUGAAGCCGCAGAAUUGGUGUAUCGGAAGGCCCAGACUAUCGUACCUGAUGCCAACAGGGCGUGCAACCUCGGGCUGUGCUUGAUCAAGCAGGGCAGGCAUCAGGAGGCAGUGCAAGUACUCGAGGAUGUGGAUGACGACAAGGCGGUUGCCCGAGCUGAGCAGCUCCUCAGUGAGCUCGGUCCGACUACACAUGUUUCAUCGCCCUUUGAUAUUGGCUUGAGUUUCACUGAAGAGAUCAUGGAGAGACUAGACCUUGUGAUGAAUGAGUGGACACCGUUCAGGUCGAGGCGGCUGCCUGUAUUCGAGGAGUUAGAUGCAUUCAGGGACCAGAUGGCUUGUUGA